AACGAACGCUGGCGGCGUGCCUAACACAUGCAAGUCGUGCGAGAAAGUUCCUUCGGGAGCGAGUAAAGCGGCGCACGGGUGAGUAACACGUAGGUAACCUGCCCCCCAGUCUGGAACAACUAGAGGAAACUCUAGCUAAUGCCGGAUGAGACCACGAUCCCUUCGGGGGUUGCGGCCAAAGAUGGCCUCUACUUGUAAGCUAUCGCUGAGGGAUGGGCCUGCGGGCCAUUAGCUUGUUGGUGAGGUAACGGCUCACCAAAGGCUGUGAUGGCUAGCUGGUCUGAGAGGAUGACCAGCCACACUGGGACUGAGACACGGCCCAGACUCCUACGGGAGCAGCAGUGGGGAAUAUUGCGCAAUGGGCGAAAGACCUGACGCAGCGACGCCGCGUGGG
RNAcentral lists this ribosomal RNA (394 nucleotides) under uncultured bacterium. RNAcentral's name for it is "bacterial SSU rRNA". It matches the Rfam family "Bacterial small subunit ribosomal RNA", at positions 29 to 405 of the family's 1533-position model. The record is from RNAcentral.